RNAcentral lists this ribosomal RNA (644 nucleotides) under uncultured bacterium. Its description in RNAcentral is "bacterial SSU rRNA". It matches the Rfam family "Bacterial small subunit ribosomal RNA", at positions 24 to 676 of the family's 1533-position model. The record is from RNAcentral.
UCAGGAUGAACGCUAGUGGCAGGCCUAAUACAUGCAAGUCGAACGGUGAUAGCAAUAUCAUAUUGGCGCACGGGUGCGUAACACGUAUGCAACCUACCUAUUAUUGGGGGAUAGCCUUUGGAAACGGAGAUUAAUACCGCAUAAUACGAUUGACUGGCAUCGGUUGAUUGUUAAAGCUUCGGCGAUAAUAGAUGGGCAUGCGUCCAAUUAUUUAGUUGGUUAGGUAACGGCUGACCAAGACGAUGAUUGGUAGGGGAUCUGAGAGGAUAAUCCCCCACACUGGCACUGAGAUACGGGCCAGACUCCUACGGGAGGCAGCAGUAGGGAAUAUUGGGCAAUGGGCGGAAGCCUGACCCAGCCAUGCCGCGUGCAGGAAGAAGGCGUUAUGCGUUGUAAACUGCUUUUUUAUACGAAGAAGGAUCCCUUGCGAGGGAAGGUGACGGUACUAUAAGAAUAAGCACCGGCUAACUCCGUGCCAGCAGCCGCGGUAAUACGGAGGGUGCAAGCGUUGUCCGGAUUUAUUGGGUUUAAAGGGUGCGUACGCGGUUUAUUAAGUCAGUGGUGAAAGACGGUCGCUCAACGAUUGCAGUGCCAUUGAUACUGGUAGACUUGAGUGAGAUUGAGGUAGCUGGAAUGGAUAGUGU